GCAUCCGGCCGCGGAAAAGGCACGGCGGCCAUUAUCGGUUUUCGCGUGUGUGCGUGUGUGCGGUGUUACGAUCAUCGAGGUCCUGCACCGCGUAUACCCGCACUUCGAGGAUCGUCUUAACGGAGGAGAGUCACUGCCGAUAGCGAAAAGUCUCCGGUAAUCCGACGGAAAGAUGGGUCGCAAGAAAAAGAAGCAGUCGAGACCCUGGUGUUGGUAUUGCAAUCGUGAAUUUGAAGAUGAAAAGAUUCUCAUUCAACAUCAAAAGGCAAAGCACUUUAAAUGUCAUAUCUGCCACAAGAAACUGUAUACUGGACCAGGGCUUAGCAUACAUUGUAUGCAGGUGCACAAGGAGGCAAUAGACAAGGUACCGAAUUCAUUGCCAAAUCGUAGCAACAUUGAGAUAGAGAUUUAUGGGAUGGAAGGCAUACCGCCGAACGAUGCAAAGGAACACGAGAGGCAACGAAAUGGCGGUAGGCCGGGCUCGCCGUCAUCUGGCGAGGAUGAGCCUGUGCCGAAAAAGGCAAAACCCGAGGGUCUGUUAGGUUCUGCGCCUGGUGCAAUGCCUGGCAUGGGGGCUGGUUUACCCGGAAUGCCACCACAGCCAGGUAUGCCGCCGCUACCUGGUAUGGCGCCACAUCCAGGUAUGGCUCCUCAUCAUGGAAUGCCACCACAUCCCGGUAUGCCUCCUAUGCAUCCUAUGAUGCAGAUGGGCCACGUAGGACCUCCCUUUAUGGGCCCAGGCAUGAUGCCUGGCAUGUCAGGCAUGCCUUCCGGUAUGCAACCACCAGUCUCAGGCGCAUCGAUGCCGCCAGCGCGUCCGCUGUUCCCGAGUGCUGCUGCAGCUGUUUCGACAGUAGCAGCAUCGACAGCGACAUCGGUCACUGGAUCUGCACCUCUUGGCACAGACUUUAAACCGAUCACGUCGGUGGCCAGUGGUGGCGGUUCCAUAGGCCCAGUAAAGCCUACAUUCCCUGCUUACAGCAGCGUUGGCGAAUCUGGUGCAACUGGUAAUAGUCUCGCUAGCAGCGGUGAUCAGAAAGUGAAUCUUAUUGCGACCACUGGGGCCGCCAGUAAGAUCAUUCAUCCUCCAGAAGAUCUUAGUCUAGAGGAAAUAAGGGCAAGACUGCCAAAGUAUCAACGUCGACAAACCGAUGAGUCUGGACGACCGACGCAAUCGGAGGCAACGGUAGGGACAGUGAGCCAGCAGCAGCAGGCCGUUGCCUUGCAACAAGCGGCAGCACAGCAGCAGCAAGCGGUACAGCAACAGCAACAACAGCAACAGGCACAACAACAGCAGCAAGCGGCCGCGAAUGUGGCAGCGGCCGCGUUUCAGGCGGAUCAGCAGCAGCGGCAGCAGCAGGCGGCGGCACUGAAUGCGCUGCAACAACAACAGCAGAGGUUCCAACGGCCGCCGCAGGCGGUCAUGGUACCAGCCUCAGCCGCAGCAAUGCCUGUCAGCUCGGUUGCAUUGAUGGCUCCCCUAAUGCGACCCACUAUGACUCUGGCCGCACCUGCUCUCAUUCAUGGAGGUAACAUGAUGCGACCGCCCCCCAUGGGCCUGCCGCCAGGGCGCCCGGUCACUCCUCGAUGAGUGUCGAACGAACCCAGUCUGGUUACUAAAACCGUGUUUUACAAUACAAGCGCUACAAGGCAUGAUAGGGGCUCUACCACCGGGUGCGGCGAUGCAUCCGGCCUUCGCCGCCGCGCCGAUGGGCUUUCCUGGACCGAUGCUGACGCCGAUGAUGCAUCCGCGCUUCAGAUGAUCGCCCCCCAUGGACGGGCCCAACCCCCCGCCGCUGCACUUCGUGCUAUGGGCCCGCCCCUAAUUUUCGCUGGGGUCUGGACCUGACCGAGCAAGAAACACAUACAUAAAUGAGAGAAAGGGAGAGAGAGAGAAAGAAAGAGAAGAAGCAGGAAAUAAUCUGCAUGUGGUAGAAUUGUUCCCCGUCAAUUCUCUCUCACACAAUCUGUUUUUUCCUUUUUUUUUUUUUAAUCAUAUUGUUGAGAGACGGAGCAACAAAAAACACUGAAAGAAAGAGAAUGAAAGAAAGUGUGUAUGUGUGUGUGAGAGAAAAAAAGAAAAAGAAUGAAAGAAAGAGAGAAAGAGAAACACACUCACUUAACAUCAUUAAUAUCUGAGUGAGUUCCUUUGAAAAAAUCAGGUGCGCGCUGGAAACGGUCGGCUUUUUCGUUUUUUCUCAUCCUUUACGCUGCUCUAUGAAAAAAAGACGCGAGUCACUAAUCGAUUGCGAAUGCGUAUGCGUAUGUAUACGCACUCACGCUAUGUUGAUCGUGUAGAUGAGCUAACAAACUCGAGCAAGUGUCAUCAUCUUUUCUACAGAAUGAAAUCAAAAUAAUCGCUUUGUAACAAUACCGUUUGCGCGGAAAUGCCAUCGCAAAUCAUCUAUCUAUUUGUCUGUCGACUUAACUCACAAUUUUUUAUUAUUCAUCAGACAGCCAUUGUAUCGCACUGCUGUUCAUCGAGAUAGCGUUUUCUCAGUCUCGUCACGAUGACAACGCGAUACGUAAAAGACAACUUCUCUUAUGGGAGUCAAUCAAGGACAGUCCGAGAGUUGGAUGAGUCCCGCAGUUUGCGAGGCCAAUUCAAAUAAAAAUCACGUGUAAAAUAAGCCUUACAAAUUACGAAUUUACUUCUGUAACAAUACUCCAAUCAUGAACGCGGGAUAAUUACAACAUUGCUGAAAUUUUCAAUGAUUAAAUUCUUAUGUACAAUUCUUUGUAAUUCUGAUCUGACUUUUCUCGAAUAUUCGGCGAGUAUAUACAGUUUUCUAAACAUAAUUGUACAAAUAAUGGAUACUAUCUACUUGUUACGAAUUAAUAUUUUAUGAAAUUUUAACAAUUCGGAAUGAAAAAGAUAUUAACAUAUUUAAUAUAAUAAAAUGUUAAAAAAAGAUAUAUUUAUUUGAAAAACGAAAUUUCUUUAGAGGAACAUUAUUACAUAUGACAUAAUUGUGUUAUUUUUGGCUUGAAAUCUCCAACUUUUCCAUUUAAAUACGUGAAUUAAUUCUAUCGUUGAAAAAUUUGAUUAAUCAUAUUUAAUCUCGUAAAAUUGGUGAUUGACUACGCAGCUCUUUGGGAAGUUGUACUUUUAACAACGGCAAAAUGCUACGUAUUAUUCCUUAAAAAAAGCUUUUCCUGUUUCGUGCAUUAGACCGUUUCCAUCACGUGCUGUUUCCCCCUUCAGCUUCCGUGCACCUGCAGUGUUCUCUUGGAAAGGCGCAAUCGCAGAUAAGGUGGCGCUUCACGCUGCAGCUGGAUGAUGAUUCACUUGACUAAGUAGAUCUCGAGAUGAGAGAGCACUCUCGAGACUAGUUCCGUUCCGUAAUGUUCGAAAUUUUUUUUGUUGAUUUACCGAGUAAACUCGAGGUAAGGAUUCCCGGAGGGAUCGAAGAUAUGAAAGUACCGCUCGACUCUUUUCUGAAAUGAAGAAAGGAAAUUAGAUCUGAAUUUUCAUUAUUUAAUGAGGAGUAAAUAUGAGUAAACAUUAAGUAAGGUUUAUUUUAUGUAAUACUUUUGAGAAUUAAAAAA
This 3549-nucleotide unclassified non-coding RNA is filed under the name Monomorium pharaonis (pharaoh ant). RNAcentral describes it as "bUB3-interacting and GLEBS motif-containing protein ZNF207, transcript variant X1". Lineage: Eukaryota; Metazoa; Arthropoda; Insecta; Hymenoptera; Formicidae. The record is from RNAcentral.